AAUUAUCAACCUUUUUCGAUUCUUCUUGAAUUGGAGAAGGCUUGGACUUUGGAGGCUCCUGCUGGCCUCUCUUGAAGCCAGCUCCUCUUAAAUGCAUUAGCGGGGGUUUCCUUUUGCUGGUCCUCGACGUGAUAAGGCUUCUUUCUACGUCCGGGGAUUCGGCUUAAGACCCGCUUCUAAUGGUCUCGUCGAGACGCCGUGAACCCU
RNAcentral lists this unclassified non-coding RNA (207 nucleotides) under uncultured Lactifluus. RNAcentral's name for it is "sequence contains ITS2". The record is from RNAcentral. Lineage: Eukaryota; Fungi; Basidiomycota; Agaricomycetes; Russulales; Russulaceae.